UACGUAGGGGGCAAGCGUUGUCCGGAUUUAUUGGGCGUAAAGAGCGUGUAGGCGGCCAGACAGGUCCGUUGUGAAAACUCGAGGCUCAACCUCGAGAUGUCGAUGGAAACCGUCUGGCUAGAGUCCGGAAGAGGAGUGUGGAAUUCCUGGUGUAGCGGUGAAAUGCGCAGAUAUCAGGAAGAACACCGAUAGCGAAGGCAGCUUACUAGACUGUAACUGACGCUGAGGCACGAAAGUGUGGGGAUCAAACAGG
This 253-nucleotide ribosomal RNA is filed under the name uncultured bacterium. RNAcentral describes it as "partial 16S ribosomal RNA". It matches the Rfam family "Bacterial small subunit ribosomal RNA", at positions 524 to 776 of the family's 1533-position model. The record is from RNAcentral.